GAGUAAUGCUUAGGAAUCUGCCUAUUAGUGGGGGACAACAUUUCGAAAGGAAUGCUAAUACCGCAUACGUCCUACGGGAGAAAGCAGGGGAUCUUCGGACCUUGCGCUAAUAGAUGAGCCUAAGUCGGAUUAGCUAGUUGGUGGGGUAAAGGCCUACCAAGGCGACGAUCUGUAGCGGGUCUGAGAGGAUGAUCCGCCACACUGGGACUGAGACACGGCCCAGACUCCUACGGGAGGCAGCAGUGGGGAAUAUUGGACAAUGGGCGGAAGCCUGAUCCAGCCAUGCCGCGUGUGUGAAGAAGGCCUUAUGGUUGUAAAGCACUUUAAGCGAGGAGGAGGCUACUCUAGUUAAUACCUAGGGAUAGUGGACGUUACUCGCAGAAUAAGCACCGGCUAACUCUGUGCCAGCAGCCGCGGUAAUACAGAGGGUGCAAGCGUUAAUCGGAUUUACUGGGCGUAAAGCGCGCGUAGGCGGCUAAUUAAGUCAAAUGUGAAAUCCCCGAGCUUAACUUGGGAAUUGCAUUCGAUACUGGUUAGCUAGAGUGUGGGAGAGGAUGGUAGAAUUCCAGGUGUAGCGGUGAAAUGCGUAGAGAUCUGGAGGAAUACCGAUGGCGAAGGCAGCCAUCUGGCCUAACACUGACGCUGAGGUGCGAAAGCAUGGGGAGCAAACAGGAUUAGAUACCCUGGUAGUCCAUGCCGU
Molecule: ribosomal RNA, 700 nt
Filed under: Acinetobacter sp.
Lineage: Bacteria; Pseudomonadati; Pseudomonadota; Gammaproteobacteria; Moraxellales; Moraxellaceae
Description: bacterial SSU rRNA
Rfam family: Bacterial small subunit ribosomal RNA
Source: RNAcentral